GGCUCAGGACGAACGCUGGCGGCGUGCCUAACACAUGCAAGUCGAACGGGACCGGGGGCAACUCCGGUUCAGUGGCGAACGGGUGCGUAACACGUGAGGAACCUGACCAUCGGCGGGGGAUAGCCGGCCCAACGGCCGGGUAAUACCGCGUACGACCUUCGGGGGGCAUCCCCUGAAGGUGAAAGCAGCAAUGCACCGAUGGAGGGCCUCGCGGCCUAUCAGCUAGUUGGUGAGGUAACGGCUCACCAAGGCGACGACGGGUAGCUGGUCUGAGAGGAUGGCCAGCCACAUUGGGACUGAGACACGGCCCAGACUCCUACGGGAGGCAGCAGUGGGGAAUCUUGCGCAAUGGGCGAAAGCCUGACGCAGCGACGCCGCGUGUGGGAUGACGGCCUUCGGGUUGUAAACCACUGUCGGGAGGGACGAAGCUCUGACGGUACCUCCAAAGGAAGCACCGGCUAACUCUGUGCCAGCAGCCGCGGUAAUACAGAGGGUGCGAGCGUUGUCCGGAAUCACUGGGCGUAAAGGGCGCGUAGGCGGCCUGAUAAGUAGGGGGUGAAAUCCUGCGGCUUAACUGCAGGGCUGCCUCCUAGACUGUCGGGCUCGAGCACGGUAGAGGCAGAUGGAAUUCCCGGUGUAGCGGUGGAAUGCGUAGAGAUCGGGAAGAACAUCGGUGGCGAAGGCGGUCUGCUGGGCCGUUGCUGACGCUGAGGCGCGACAACGUGGGGAGCAAACAGGAUUAGAUACCCUGGUAGUCCACGCCGUAAACGAUGGACACUAGGCGUCGGGGGGAGCGACCCUCCCGGUGCCGUCGCUAACGCAGUAAGUGUCCCGCCUGGG
RNAcentral lists this ribosomal RNA (840 nucleotides) under uncultured bacterium. RNAcentral's name for it is "bacterial SSU rRNA". It matches the Rfam family "Bacterial small subunit ribosomal RNA", at positions 21 to 877 of the family's 1533-position model. The record is from RNAcentral.